CGUAGGAGCAAGCGUUGUCCGGAUUUACUGGGUGUAAAGGGUGCGUAGGCGGCUUUGCAAGUCAGAUGUGAAAUCUAUGGGCUCAACCCAUAGCCUGCAUUUGAAACUGCAGAGCUUGAGUGAAGUAGAGGCAGGCGGAAUUCCCCGUGUAGCAGUGAAAUGCGUAGAGAUGGGAGGAACACCAGUGGCGAAGGCGGCCUGCUGGGCUUUAACUGACGCUGAGGCACGAAAGCGUGGGUAGCAAACAGGAUU
This 252-nucleotide ribosomal RNA is filed under the name uncultured bacterium. Its description in RNAcentral is "partial 16S ribosomal RNA". It matches the Rfam family "Bacterial small subunit ribosomal RNA", at positions 526 to 779 of the family's 1533-position model. The record is from RNAcentral.